GUCGAGAAUAUUCGACAAUGGGCGAAAGCCUGAUCGAGCGACGCCGCGUGCAGGAAGAAGGCCUGCGGGUUGUAAACUGCGGUAAACUGGGAAUAAGUCGCAAGACUGAAGGUACCAGUUGGAAAGAGGUGGGUAACUACGUGCCAGCACCAGCGGUAAAACGUAGACCUCAAGCGUUAUCCGGAUUUAUUGGGCGUAAAGAGCGUGUAGGCGGUCCGACGCGUCUUUGGUUAAAGCCCACUGCCCAACAGUGGAAUCGCCAAGGAUACGGUCGGGCUGGAGGAGGUUAGAGGUGCAUGGAACGCACGGUGUAGGGGUGAAAUCCGUUGAUAUCGUGCGGAACACCAAAGGCGAAGGCAGUGCACUGGGACCUUCCUGACGCUGAGACGCGAAAGCGUGGGGAGCAAAAAGGAUUAGAAACCCGAGUAGUCC
This 432-nucleotide ribosomal RNA is filed under the name uncultured bacterium. RNAcentral's name for it is "bacterial SSU rRNA". It matches the Rfam family "Bacterial small subunit ribosomal RNA", at positions 354 to 796 of the family's 1533-position model. The record is from RNAcentral.